CCGCGAAACUGCGAAUGGCUCAUUAUAUAAGUUAUCGUUUAUUUGAUAAUACUUUACUACUUGGAUAACCGUGGUAAUUCUAGAGCUAAUACAUGCUGAAAAUCCCGACUUCGGAAGGGAUGUAUUUAUUAGAUUAAAAACCAAUGCCCCUCGGGGCUCUCUGGUGAAUCAUGAUAACUAGUCGAAUCGACAGGCCUUGUGCCGGCGAUGGCUCAUUCAAAUUUCUUCCCUAUCAACUUUCGAUGUUUGGGUAUUGGCCAAACAUGGUGGCAACGGGUAACGGAGGGUUAGGGCUCGACCCCGGAGAAGGAGCCUGAGAAACGGCUACUACAUCCAAGGAAGGCAGCAGGCGCGCAAAUUACCCAAUCCCGACACGGGGAGGUAGUGACAAUAAAUACUGAUACAGGGCUCUUUUGGGUCUUGUAAUCGGAAUGAGUACAAUUUAAAUCCCUUAACGAGGAACAAUUGGAGGGCAAGUCUGGUGCCAGCAGCCGCGGUAAUUCCAGCUCCAAUAGCGUAUAUUAAAGUUGUUGUGGUUAAAAAGCUCGUAGUUGAACCUUGGGCCUGGCUGGCCGGUCCGCCUCACCGCGUGCACUGGUCCGGCCGGGCCUUUCCCUCUGCGGAACCCCAUGCCCUUCACUGGGUGUGGCGGGGAAACAGGACUUUUACUUUGAAAAAAUUAGAGUGCUCAAGGCAGGCCUAUGCUCGAAUACAUUAGCAUGGAAUAAUAGAAUAGGACGUGUGGUUCUAUUUUGUUGGUUUCUAGGACCGCCGUAAUGAUUAAUAGGGACAGUCGGGGGCAUCAGUAUUCAAUUGUCAGAGGUGAAAUUCUUGGAUUUAUUGAAGACUAACUACUGCGAAAGCAUUUGCCAAGGAUGUUUUCAUUAAUCAGGAACGAAAGUUAGGGGAUCGAAGACGAUCAGAUACCGUCGUAGUCUUAACCAUAAACUAUGCCGACUAGGGAUCGGACGAUGUUACAUUUUUGACGCGUUCGGCACCUUACGAGAAAUCAAAGUGCU
Molecule: ribosomal RNA, 1019 nt
Filed under: Trichoderma guizhouense
Lineage: Eukaryota; Fungi; Ascomycota; Sordariomycetes; Hypocreales; Hypocreaceae
Description: SSU rRNA
Rfam family: Eukaryotic small subunit ribosomal RNA
Source: RNAcentral